This 301-nucleotide ribosomal RNA is filed under the name uncultured bacterium. RNAcentral's name for it is "partial 16S ribosomal RNA". It matches the Rfam family "Bacterial small subunit ribosomal RNA", at positions 509 to 807 of the family's 1533-position model. The record is from RNAcentral.
CAGCCGCCACGGUAAUACGGAGGGGGCUAGCGUUGUUCGGAAUUACUGGGCGUAAAGCGCACGUAGGCGGCUGUGUAAGUCAGAGGUGAAAGCCCGGGGCUCAACCCCGGAAUAGCCUUUGAGACUGCAUAGCUUGAACACGGGAGAGGUGAGUGGAAUUCCGAGUGUAGAGGUGAAAUUCGUAGAUAUUCGGAGGAACACCAGUGGCGAAGGCGGCUCACUGGUCCAUUACUGACGCUGAGGUGCGAAAGCGUGGGGAGCAAACAGGAUUAGAUACCCCCGUAGUCCCUGUCUCUUAUAC